Molecule: ribosomal RNA, 200 nt
Filed under: uncultured bacterium
Lineage: Bacteria
Description: partial 16S ribosomal RNA
Rfam family: Bacterial small subunit ribosomal RNA
Source: RNAcentral
AGAGUUUGAUCCUGGCUCAGAAUGAACGUUGGCGGUGCGCCUAACACAUGCAAGUCGAGCGGAAGUAAUUCAGCGGCAGACGGGUGAGUAACGCGUGGGAAUCUGCCCUUUAGUGGAGAAUACCUUCGAGAAAUCGGAGUUAAUACUGCAUAAGUUCCUUGUAAAAGGAAGAAAGAUGGCCUCUUGCUGUCGCUAAAGGA